RNAcentral lists this transfer RNA (86 nucleotides) under Oscillospiraceae bacterium. RNAcentral describes it as "tRNA-Leu". It matches the Rfam family "tRNA". Rfam says of the family: Transfer RNA (tRNA) molecules are approximately 80 nucleotides in length. Their secondary structure includes four short double-helical elements and three loops (D, anti-codon, and T loops). The record is from RNAcentral. Lineage: Bacteria; Bacillati; Bacillota; Clostridia; Eubacteriales; Oscillospiraceae.
GCGGAUAUGGCGGAAUUGGCAGACGCGCCAGAUUUAGGAUCUGGUGGGCGACCCCCGUGCAGGUUCAACUCCUGUUAUCCGCACCA